This 439-nucleotide ribosomal RNA is filed under the name uncultured bacterium. RNAcentral describes it as "bacterial SSU rRNA". It matches the Rfam family "Bacterial small subunit ribosomal RNA", at positions 335 to 779 of the family's 1533-position model. The record is from RNAcentral.
ACUCCUACGGGAGGCAGCAGUGGGGGAAUCUUUAGACAAUGGGGGCGAACCCUGAUCUAGCCAUGCCGCGUGAGUGAUGAAGGCCUUAAGGGUUUGUAAAAGCUCUUUUCAGCUGGGAAGAUAAUGACGGUACCGAGCAGAAGAAGCCCCGGCUAACUCCGUGCCAGCAGCCGCGGUAAUACGAGGGGGCUAGCGUUGUUCGGAAUUACUGGGCGUAAAGCGCACGUAGGCGGACUGGAAAGUUGGGGGUGAAAUCCCGGGGGCUCAACCUCGGAACUGCCUCCAAAACUAUCAGUCUGGAGUUCGAGAGAGGUGAGUGGAAUACCGAGUGUAGAGGUGAAAUUCGUAAGAUAUUCGGUGGAACACCGAGUGGACGAAGGCGGCUACCGUGGUCUGCAACUGACGCUGAGACUCGAAAGCAUGGGUAGCGAACAGGAUU